RNAcentral lists this ribosomal RNA (489 nucleotides) under uncultured Pseudomonadota bacterium. RNAcentral describes it as "bacterial SSU rRNA". It matches the Rfam family "Bacterial small subunit ribosomal RNA", at positions 355 to 834 of the family's 1533-position model. The record is from RNAcentral. Lineage: Bacteria; Pseudomonadati; Pseudomonadota.
UCGGGAAUUUUGGGCAAUGGGCGAAAGCCUGACCCCAGCAACGCCGCGUGAGGGAUGAAGGCCUUCGGGUCGUAAACCUCUGUCGGGAGGGAAGAAUGUCUUCGGGGUGAACAAUCCCGGAGGUUGACGGUACCUCUAGAGGAAGCGCCGGCUAACUCCGUGCCAGCAGCCGCGGUAAUACGGAGGGCGCAAGCGUUGUUCGGAAUCAUUGGGCGUAAAGCGCGUGUAGGCGGCUUGGUAAGUCGAGUGUGAAAUCCCGGGGCUCAACCCCGGAAGGUCGCUCGAAACUGCCUCGCUCGAGUCCCGGAGAGGAAGGCGGAAUUCCCGGUGUAGAGGUGAAAUUCGUAGAUAUCGGGAGGAACACCAGCGGCGAAGGCGGCCUUCUGGACGGUGACUGACGCUGAGACGCGAAAGCGUGGGGAGCAAACAGGAUUAGAUACCCUGGUAGUCCACGCCGUAAACGAUGAGUACUAGGUGUAGGAGGUAUCG